UUAAAUUGCUGUGGUAUUGAAGACUAUACGAAGGUAUUGACAUAAGACUUUAAUUGAGUGCUAAGAGAAUGGUUUAACAAAAAUAGGCUUUUUUUUUAUUUAAAAUUGAAGUUAAUUUAAAAACGAAAAAGUUUUUAUGAAAUUUUAGGACAAGAAGACCCUAUGAAUUUUUUUAAAAAGCUUUUUUUUCAGGUUUUUUUAAAAAAAUUUAGAGAAGUUUUUAAUUAAUUGGGGCGAUUUUUAAAUUUUUAGAAACUUUAAAGAUAUGAUAUUGGAACCAAUAUUAUUGAUAUAUUAAUGAAAAUACUCUAGGGAUAACAGCGUUAUUACUUUGGAUAGUUCAUAUAGAUAAAGUAGAUUGCGACCUCGAUCUUGGAUUAGGAUACCUUUAUUAGUGAAGAAGUUCUAAAAGGAGGUUUGCUCAACCUUUAAAUUCCUAC
RNAcentral lists this ribosomal RNA (440 nucleotides) under Ornithodoros huajianensis. Its description in RNAcentral is "partial 16S ribosomal RNA". Lineage: Eukaryota; Metazoa; Arthropoda; Arachnida; Ixodida; Argasidae. The record is from RNAcentral.